RNAcentral lists this ribosomal RNA (498 nucleotides) under Cerrophidion godmani (Godman's montane pit viper). RNAcentral describes it as "partial 16S large subunit ribosomal RNA". It matches the Rfam family "Bacterial large subunit ribosomal RNA", at positions 1843 to 2608 of the family's 2925-position model. Lineage: Eukaryota; Metazoa; Chordata; Lepidosauria; Squamata; Viperidae. The record is from RNAcentral.
GUAUUAAAGGCAACGCCUGCCCAGUGAAAAAUUAAACGGCCGCGGUAUCCUAACCGUGCAAAGGUAGCAUAAUCAUUUGUCUAUUAAUUGUAGACCUGUAUGAAAGGCAAAAUGAGAGCCCAACUGUCUCUUAUAACAAAUCAAUUAAACUGAUCUCCUAGUACAAAAGCUAGAAUACUAACAUAAGACCAGAAGACCCUGUGAAGCUUUAACUAACCUAUUAAACCCAAUAAUAACUACUUUCGGUUGGGGCGACCUUGGAAUAAAAAAGAACUUCCAAUAUAUGACUCCCUCAUAAAAUAAGGCCAACAAGCCAACACUAGACCCAGUAUAACUGAUAAUUGAAAUAAGUUACUCCAGGGAUAACAGCGCUAUCUUCUUUAAGAGCCCAUAUCAAAAAGAAGGUUUACGACCUCGAUGUUGGAUCAGGACAUCCCAGUAAUGCAACCGUUACUAAAGGUUCGUUUGUUCAACGAUUAACAGUCCUACGUGAUCUAG